This 821-nucleotide ribosomal RNA is filed under the name uncultured bacterium. Its description in RNAcentral is "bacterial SSU rRNA". It matches the Rfam family "Bacterial small subunit ribosomal RNA", at positions 600 to 1422 of the family's 1533-position model. The record is from RNAcentral.
UNCCCGAGCUUAACUUGGGAACUGCGUUUUGAACUGGUAAGCUAGAGUACGUCAGAGGGGGGUAGAAUNCCACGUGUAGCAGUGAAAUGCGUAGAGAUGUGGAGGAAUACCGAUGGCGAAGGCAGCCCCCUGGGACAAUACUGACGUUCAUGCUCGAAAGCGUGGGUAGCAAACAGGAUUAGAUACCCUGGUAGUCCACGCCCUAAACGAUGUCAAUUAGCUGUUGGGGCACUUGAUGCCUUAGUAGCGAAGCUAACGCGUGAAAUUGACCGCCUGGGGAGUACGGUCGCAAGAUUAAAACUCAAAGGAAUUGACGGGGACCCGCACAAGCGGUGGAUGAUGUGGAUUAAUUCGAUGCAACGCGAAGAACCUUACCUGGUCUUGACAUGUACGGAAUCUUCCAGAGACGGAAGAGUGCCUUCGGGAGCCGUAACACAGGUGCUGCAUGGCUGUCGUCAGCUCGUGUCGUGAGAUGAUGGGUUAAGUCCCGCAACGAGCGCAACCCUUGUCAUUAGUUGCCACCAUUCAGUUGGGCACUCUAAUGAGACUGCCGGUGACAAACCGGAGGAAGGUGGGGAUGACGUCAAGUCCUCAUGGCCCUUAUGACCAGGGCUUCACACGUCAUACAAUGGUCGGUACAGAGGGUAGCCAAGCCGCGAGGUGGAGCCAAUCUCAGAAAACCGAUCGUAGUCCGGAUUGCACUCUGCAACUCGAGUGCAUGAAGUCGGAAUCGCUAGUAAUCGCAGGUCAGCAUACUGCGGUGAAUACGUUCCCGGGUCUUGUACACACCGCCCGUCACACCAUGGGAGUGGGGGAUACCG